UGGGGAAUAUUGCACAAUGGGCGCAAGCCUGAUGCAGCCAUGCCGCGUGUAUGAAGAAGGCCUUCGGGUUGUAAAGUACUUUCAGCGGGGAGGAAGGGAGUAAAGUUAAUACCUUUGCUCAUUAACGUUACCCGCAGAAGAAGCACCGGCUAACUCCGUGCCAGCAGCCGCGGUAAUACGGAGGGUGCAAGCGUUAAUCGGAAUUACUGGGCGUAAAGCGCACGCAGGCGGUCUGUCAAGUCGGAUGUGAAAUCCCCGGGCUUAACCUGGGAACUGCAUUCGAAACUGGCAGGCUAGAGUCUUGUAGAGGGGGGUAGAAUUCCAGGUGUAGCGGUGAAAUGCGUAGAGAUCUGGAGGAAUACCGGUGGCGAAGGCGGCCCCCUGGACAAAGACUGACGCUCAGGUGCGAAAGCGUGGGGAGCAAACAGG
This 429-nucleotide ribosomal RNA is filed under the name Chloroflexota bacterium. Its description in RNAcentral is "Chloroflexi bacterium partial 16S ribosomal RNA". It matches the Rfam family "Bacterial small subunit ribosomal RNA", at positions 355 to 776 of the family's 1533-position model. The record is from RNAcentral. Lineage: Bacteria; Bacillati; Chloroflexota.